Molecule: ribosomal RNA, 497 nt
Filed under: uncultured bacterium
Lineage: Bacteria
Description: partial 16S ribosomal RNA
Rfam family: Bacterial small subunit ribosomal RNA
Source: RNAcentral
GAUGAACGCUGGCGGCGUGCCUAAUACAUGCAAGUCGAGCGAACAGACGAGGAGCUUGCUCCUCUGACGUUAGCGGCGGACGGGUGAGUAACACGUGGAUAACCUACCUAUAAGACUGGGAUAACUUCGGGAAACCGGAGCUAAUACCGGAUAAUAUAUUGAACCGCAUGGUUCAAUAGUGAAAGACGGUUUUGCUGUCACUUAUAGAUGGAUCCGCGCCGCAUUAGCUAGUUGGUAAGGUAACGGCUUACCAAGGCAACGAUGCGUAGCCGACCUGAGAGGGUGAUCGGCCACCCUGGAACUGAGACACGGUCCAGACUCCUACGGGAGGCAGCAGUAGGGAAUCUUCCGCAAUGGGGGAAAGCCUGACGGAGCAACGCCGCGUGAGUGAUGAAGGUCUUCGGAUCGUAAAACUCUGUUGUUAGGGAAGAACAAAUGUGUAAGUAACUAUGCACGUCUUGACGGUACCUAAUCAGAAAGCCACGGCUAACUACGUG